This 253-nucleotide ribosomal RNA is filed under the name uncultured bacterium. RNAcentral's name for it is "partial 16S ribosomal RNA". It matches the Rfam family "Bacterial small subunit ribosomal RNA", at positions 524 to 776 of the family's 1533-position model. The record is from RNAcentral.
UACGUAGGGGGCAAGCGUUGUUCGGAAUUACUGGGCGUAAAGGGCGCGUAGGCGGCACGGCAAGUCAGGAGUGAAAGCCCUGGGCUCAACCGAGGAACUGCUUUUGAGACUGCCGAGCUAGAGUGCAGAAGGGGCAACUGGAAUUCCCAGUGUAGCGGUGAAAUGCGUAGAUAUUGGGAAGAACACCUGAGGCGAAGGCGGGUUGCUGGGCUGACACUGACGCUGAGGCGCGAAAGCCAGGGGAGCAAACGGG